GACUUUGCCUCUGAUAUUCACAAAUUAAAAUUUGACUCUACUUCUAAUAUUGACACGCUCCAAUCUGGGUCUGAUACUUCUGACUCGGAUAUUUACACAUUAACAUCUUACUCUACUUCUGAUAUUGACACACUCCAACCUGACUAUGAUACUUCUGGCUCUACUUCUAGUAUUUGCACAAUGACUCUGACUUUCAUACUUCUAACUUUGACAAAAGUCAACACACCUAAAAAGUUCAAUACAUCAUAUUUAAUUUUCCAAAAGUCAAUGCCUCUAAUGAAGGUCAAUGAUUCAGGAAAUUGUGUAUGACUUGGAAAAUGUGAUUUUGAUAAAAUUUAGACGAUUCAUUAUCAGAUUCUGAAACAGACAAAGUUUGCCUCUGAUCCUGAUACCUGCAAAUUUGCCUCUGAUAUUGAUCAUGGAAGAUGUGAAAACUCAUAAAAAUUCUUGGAAAAAUACAAAUAAUGUUCAUGUUAGUUACUACCAAAAUUGCAUCAAAUGUAAAUAUUGGCUAAAGUAUUUUUUAUUGGCAUAAACGGUUUUCAAAUGAAUCAUCACUAACCACGACAAUAAAAAAUUCAAAAUCUGUAGUAACAAUCAAAAGGUGAAACAAGAAGCAUCGCACUAGUUCAAACACGUCAAUUUAGAACUGAACAAAAUGGAAACAAGGAAAUUUUUCAAUUUAUACUGUAAAAGUGAAUGUCAUUUCCAAAAAUGGGACAUCUUGUUGCAACUCAAUAUAAUAGAGUUUUAAUUGAGUGGACGAGAUUUCAAAAUGUAGCUUUCGAAACCUUUCUCCCACUAUGAGGUUGUCCACCUCCAAAUCUAACUUCACAAAAUUUGUGCAUUGAAAGGGUCAACAAAAAUGAUUAUAUUCAUGUAUACUUGAAGGAUUAUUGUCCAAUACCUUUGACAUAUGUAGAAUGGAGAGUGCACCACAAACAAGAAUUAGAAUCAUGGUAGAAUCCAUUUGUUGAAAGUAAGUAUUUGUUUGAUAAACUCAUGGAAAUUGAAAAAGCUUUCCAACCAUUAAAAAAAUCAAACGCUGACAACCCGAUUGAAAUGACAAAUGAAGAUGAUGUCUCUGACCUUGGAAUAGAUUUGUUAAUAUUUAUAGGACUAUUGAACCACAUUAGGAUGCUAUUACAUGUAUAUGAAAUUAUGAGUAUAAUGAAAUGUAUGACAUAUUUUUUGAUAUGACGUUGAAACCAAAUUUUGCAUAUAUAUUGUUUAUGUCAUUUGUAGCACUGCAUAUUGCAUAUUUUUGUUUUUGGGUCUUCAUAUUGCAGAUUUCUGCAAUUUCCUAUCAAAUACAUUACUGGAUCCUAGAAUCUGGUUGUAUACUGAGGUAUUUUUGAAAAGUAAAAUACACUACCAGAUCGAAGACUCU
This 1390-nucleotide long non-coding RNA is filed under the name Cicer arietinum (chickpea). RNAcentral's name for it is "long non-coding RNA (CARI_LNC003496)". Lineage: Eukaryota; Viridiplantae; Streptophyta; Magnoliopsida; Fabales; Fabaceae. The record is from RNAcentral.